UACAGAGGUCCCGAGCGUUGUUCGGAUUCACUGGGCGUAAAGGGUGCGUAGGCGGUCGGAUAAGUCUGAUGUGAAAUCUCUGGGCUUAACCCAGAGAUGGCAUUGGAUACUAUUCGGCUAGAGAGUUGGAAGGGGGACUGGAAUUCUUGGUGUAGCAGUGAAAUGCGUAGAUAUCAAGAGGAAUACCAGUGGCGAAGGCGAGUCCCUGGACAACUUCUGACGCUGAGGCACGAAAGCUAGGGGAGCAAACAGG
RNAcentral lists this ribosomal RNA (253 nucleotides) under uncultured bacterium. RNAcentral's name for it is "partial 16S ribosomal RNA". It matches the Rfam family "Bacterial small subunit ribosomal RNA", at positions 524 to 776 of the family's 1533-position model. The record is from RNAcentral.